AUUGAACGCUGGCGGCAUGCCUUACACAUGCAAGUCGAACGGUAACAGGUCUUCGGAUGCUGACGAGUGGCGAACGGGUGAGUAAUACAUCGGAACGUGCCUAGUAGUGGGGGAUAACUACUCGAAAGAGUGGCUAAUACCGCAUGAGAUCUACGGAUGAAAGCAGGGGAUCGCAGGACCUUGUGCUACUAGAGCGGCCGAUGGCAGAUUAGGUAGGUGGUGGGAUAAAAGCUUACCAAGCCGACGAUCUGUAGCUGGUCUGAGAGGACGAUCAGCCACGCUGGGACUGAGACACGGCCCAGACUCCUACGGGAGGCAGCAGUGGGGAAUUUUGGACAAUGGGCGAAAGCCUGAUCCAGCAAUGCCGCGUGCAGGAUGAAGGCCUUCGGGUUGUAAACUGCUUUUGUACGGAACGAAAAGCCCCGGGUUAAUACCCUGGGGUCAUGACGGUACCGUAAGAAUAAGCACCGGCUAACUACGUGCCAGCCGCCGCGGUAA
This 498-nucleotide ribosomal RNA is filed under the name uncultured bacterium. Its description in RNAcentral is "partial 16S ribosomal RNA". It matches the Rfam family "Bacterial small subunit ribosomal RNA", at positions 30 to 523 of the family's 1533-position model. The record is from RNAcentral.